Molecule: long non-coding RNA, 1814 nt
Filed under: Sus scrofa (pig)
Lineage: Eukaryota; Metazoa; Chordata; Mammalia; Artiodactyla; Suidae
Description: lncRNA (ENSSSCG00050062292.1)
Source: RNAcentral
AGAGUCAAUGGAGAAAAUGCCCGGGUACAUGGGCAUUUAGCAGACCAGGAAAGGACUGAAAAGCAGAUCUGAACAGCAGAAAGUGUGGAGAAGAGAUUGGAGUGAGGCAAUACAUGGGAGCAAGACUGCAGGCUGGACGAUGGAUCAGGAAUUCAUUGCAAUAAUCAGGCCCAGGGAUAACCAGGACCUACUGACAGCUACUACAUGAGUGAGCUCGGAAGUCGGUCCUAACUCAGCUGUAGCCUUCUGGAGACUGCAGUCCCUCUGGACAGCUUAACUGCAACUUCAUGAGAGACCUUGAACCUAAACUACCAGGGACCCAAAUUUCUGACCCACAGAAACUAUGAGACAAAGUUUUUUGCUAUAAGUUGGUAAAUUUGUUAUUUACCAAUUUUUGGGGGUAAUUUGUUAUACAUACAUGGAUAACUAAUUCAUCAGAUUAAUGAAAGUGAAGGGAAGGUGGUGAUUGGUUUCCAGGACCCAGCACAGUUGGAUAACUUUCUCCAGCAGCCCUAGACAACUCCAGACAAUAUGCUUGUAGACUUUAUAUGCCAUUGAUAUUAUGCGAUGUCCAAUAAUAUCUUUUUUUAAUAGUAUUUUUUAUUUUUUUCUUUCUAAUUUUGCUGUUUUAAGGCUGUGGUUCCCAGGUUAGGGGUUGAAUCAGAGCUGUAGCUGCCAGCCUAAGCCAUAGCCACAGAAACACAGGAUCCAAGCCGCGUCUGCGACCUAUACCACAGCUCACGGCAACGCCGGAUCCUUAACCCACUGAGUGAGGCCAGGGACUGAACCCACAUCCUCAUGGACCCUAGUAGGGUUCGUUAACCACUGAGCCACGAAGGGAACUCCUUCGAUAGUAUCUUUUGAUAAAAUAAUUUUGCCAAAAUCUUAUUUAACUUUCUUAAUGAGCUAUUAACCAUUAACACUAUGUCUGACUUUAAAAGCUUUUUGACAAGAAUGUGUCCUGUCACUGUUUUGACUUUAAAAAGCAUAGCUUGAAGUUCCCAUCAUGGCACGCAGAAAUGAAUCUGACUAGGAACCAUAAGGUUGUGAGUUUGAUCCCUGGCCUAUGCUCAGUGGGUUAAGGAUCCAGCGUUACCGUGAGCAAUGGUGUAGUUCGCAGAGGCGGCUCAGAUCUGGCGUUGCUGUGGCUGUGCUGUAGGCUGGCAGUUGUAGCUCCGAUUAGACCCCUAGUCUGGGAACCUCCAUGUGCCACUAGUGUGGCCCUAAAAAGCAAAAAAAAAAAAAAAAAAUUUAAAUAAGUAAAAAGCAUAACUUUAUUUUUUUAUUUUUAUUUUAUUUUUUAAGGGCUGCACAUGUGGCAUAUGGAAGUUCUCAGGCUAGGGGUCAAAUAGGAGCUGCCGCUGCAGGCCUAUGCCACAGCCACAGCCACACCAGAUCCAAGCCUUACCUGUGGCCUAAACCACAGCUCAUGGCAAUGCUGGAUCCUUAACCCACAGAGCGAGGCCUGGGCUCGAACCCGAAACAUCAUGGUUACUAGUUGGAUUAGUUUCCACUUGUUCCCAUUGGUUCUGGGAACUCCAGAUAGCUUUAUAGUUUUGAUCACUUCUCUUACUUUUAGGAAGAAAUUUUAUCAAAGUUAUAUCAGUAAACAUUAUUUUGUGGGAUCUUCUUCCUCCAGAAAAAAUAUUUUUUGUGGUUACUAGAUUGGCCACCGAACUUUUUUCAAAAAUGGCACUAAAAUUUCAUUUGUUUGACUAAGUUUCAUAAUCUAUGUAAUGAAAUAGAUGUAAUGUACUGGGGGCCAGGGGCAAAUGGACUACCAUUUUAAUAAAAACAUACAUCUUAGAGCCUCA